AAUGAAUACAGAUGAUCUACCCUCUGACAGUGAUCAAAGUGAUGUAGACUAUGUUCCAUCUGAUUGUGAAGGAAAACUCUCAGAGGAAGACUCAGAUGAAAACAUCUCUGAUGAGCCACAGUGUCAGGAAGAUGGUGGUCUUGAGGAUCCGGGAAAGAAACGCAAGAAGAAGCAAAAGAAGAGUAGAAAAUCCAGAAAAGUGUCUCAAGAGGAAGAAAAAACUGAAGUCAAUGAAGAGACAACAAGCAAUAAACCAAUUUCAGCAGAAGAAGAAAAAAAGAGAGCUGAUUCCCUAUGGGCUGAUUUCAUGAAAGAUGUUGGCGGAGCCCCCAAAAAGUCUGAACCCUCCAUUUCGAGUACGUCCAAUGACCAUCAAAAAGCAUCUGAACAAAAAACUCCAGCUAAAACGAUAUGUGAUGAAAAAAAAGAAGAGAAAAAGAAGUAG
Molecule: long non-coding RNA, 445 nt
Filed under: Bemisia tabaci
Lineage: Eukaryota; Metazoa; Arthropoda; Insecta; Hemiptera; Aleyrodidae
Description: lncRNA ENSSSA2NGG014378
Source: RNAcentral